Molecule: ribosomal RNA, 333 nt
Filed under: Lachnospiraceae bacterium
Lineage: Bacteria; Bacillati; Bacillota; Clostridia; Lachnospirales; Lachnospiraceae
Description: bacterial LSU rRNA
Rfam family: Bacterial large subunit ribosomal RNA
Source: RNAcentral
AAGCGGUACGCGAGCUGGGUUCAGAACGUCGUGAGACAGUUCGGUCCCUAUCCGGCGUGGGCGUAAGAUAUUUGAGAGGAGCCGUCCUUAGUACGAGAGGACCGGGACGGACUGACCGCUGGUGUACCUGUUGGAGAGUAACUCCAUGGCAGGGUAGCUAUGUCGGGACGGGAUAAACGCUGAAGGCAUCUAAGCGUGAAGCCCCCCUCAAGAUGGGAUAUCUCAUGUGAAAACAGUAAGACCCCUUGAAGACUACGAGGUAGAUAGGGCCAAGAUGUAAGUACAGUAAUGUAUUAAGUUGAUGGUUACUAAUAGGUCGAGGGUUUAACCAAA